CCUACGGGGGGCAGCAGUGAGGAAUAUUGGUCAAUGGACGAGAGUCUGAACCAGCCAAGUAGCGUGAAGGAUGACUGCCCUAUGGGUUGUAAACUUCUUUUAUAUGGGAAUAAAAUGUUCCACGUGUGGGAUUUUGUAUGUACCAUAUGAAUAAGGAUCGGCUAACUCCGUGCCAGCAGCCGCGGUAAUACGGAGGAUCCGAGCGUUAUCCGGAUUUAUUGGGUUUAAAGGGUGCGUAGGUGGAGUUUUAAGUCAGGUGUGAAAGUUUGGGGCUCAACCGUAAAAUUGCAGUUAAAACUGGCAGUCUUGAGAAGAGUAAGGGUGGGCGGAAUUGGUGUGUAGUGGUGAAAUGCUUAGAUAUCACGAAGAACUCCGAUUGCGAAGGCAGCUCACUGGACUGCAACUGACACUGAGGCUCGAAAGUGUGGGUAUCAAACAGGAUUAGAUACCCUUGUAGUC
Molecule: ribosomal RNA, 459 nt
Filed under: uncultured bacterium
Lineage: Bacteria
Description: partial 16S ribosomal RNA
Rfam family: Bacterial small subunit ribosomal RNA
Source: RNAcentral